GAUAGUGUUAGGACUAUGUUAGAAUCUUCUCACUGUACUGUUGCCUGCUUACAAGAGACUAAAACUCAACACUUGUCAAGGCAACGUCUCCAUUCGUUGAUUUGCAUGGCAAGUAAUCUCUACUUGCCUGCUGAUGGAGUUAAAGGUGGCAUCCUCGUCUUGUUGGAUAACUCGCUUGUAGAUUUAGCACAACCUUCCUUAGCUCUUUAUUCCAUCUCGGCAGAUGUUCUUCUCAUACAGAGCAACCAGUACUUCAGACUUUCAGUGGUAUACGGGCCGUCAGAAGAUGGGGGGAAACCAGCCUUCCUACUGAAAUACAAGACAUCAGAUCACCUCAAGGGACACCGUGGGUUAUCCUUGGUGAUUUCAAUCUCAUCUACGAGGCCAAAGAUAAGAGCAAUAACAACCUGAACCGUCGUCUCAUGGGGCAGUUCUAAGCAGUUCUAAAUUCAUGUGAGCUUAAAGAAAUUCCUCUCCAAAAUAGGAAGUUCACCUGGAGCGAGGGACAGUCCGACGCUUAGCAAAUUAGACCGCUUUUUUUGCACGCAGGAGUGGGACCUCAUGUUCUCGUUGCAUACCCUGCAAGCUCUCUCCUCGUCCAUGUCCGAUCAUUGCCCCCCUGCUGCUAGCAAGUACGGCCGGACCACGCCGGCCGCCGAUGUUCCGGUUUGAGAAUUUUUGGCCACUCAUUCCAGGUUUCAUGCCAAUUGUUCAAGAUGCCUGGGCGCAACAACAACAUCACACAAAUCCCAUGCACCGGCUUGCUGCAUGCCUUCGUAGCACUGCUAAGGAAUUGAGGAAAUGGAGCAAAUCAAUUAUUAGUGAUGUAGCUUUACAACUUGCUCUAGCCAAUGAGGUUAUUUUGCAACUCGACAUUGCGCAAGAGAAUCGUCCACUCUCGGUGGAUGAACAAGAUCUUAGAAGAAAGCUAAAAAUCCGAGUCCUAGGUCUUGCGGCCGUAGACAAAGCAAGAAAACGUCAAGCUUCUAGAAUCACUUGGCUUAAAGUUGGAGAUGCAAGUUGAAGGACCGGAACGGCAACCGGAGGGGUUGAAUGAGUGCCUUUAAAAUUCUUCUCGGAGAAUAAGGUCUAUGUCCUAAUUGUCACUCAAAAACACACCUCGCGUCAAUUCGUCAAGACGACACAAGUUAACUCAUGAUAAGCUCACCCUAGGAAAGAUUUGACACGCUUAAGACAUAGCGGGAGCAAAGCAUAAAGUGACUCCAACAAGCUUGCACAAACGAGAUUAAGUAAGACCACUGCUAAUUACUUACUCAACUAAGCAUGCAAGGAAAAACGAUUAAUUUAAAGAGCUAAGCAUGAUUAUCAAAUAAGAGUUCAAAUUAAGUAGCUAAAGCAAGUAACAUUAAUUAACUAACUAAUUGCAAGAAUUAACGAAAAAAACGAGCUCACAGUGCUACCGUAGAUGAAGCUGGGCCUGCUGCUCCUGUCUCUCUUGACCGGCCUGCUGUGAAGCCACGGCCUGCUUUGCGCCAGCCUGGGCUGCCUGCUUCGCCUCUCCUGCUCGUGGGCCUGCACACUGCUGGGCUGGAUGGACCUGCUCUCGCUUCACUGGGCCGCUGGAUGCGCUGGCUUGGCC
RNAcentral lists this long non-coding RNA (1600 nucleotides) under Setaria italica (foxtail millet). RNAcentral describes it as "long non-coding RNA (SITA_LNC004327)". Lineage: Eukaryota; Viridiplantae; Streptophyta; Magnoliopsida; Poales; Poaceae. The record is from RNAcentral.